RNAcentral lists this ribosomal RNA (415 nucleotides) under uncultured prokaryote. RNAcentral's name for it is "bacterial SSU rRNA". It matches the Rfam family "Bacterial small subunit ribosomal RNA", at positions 505 to 918 of the family's 1533-position model. The record is from RNAcentral.
GUGUCAGCAGCCGCGGUAAUACGUACUGGGCGAACGUUAUUCGGAAUCACUGGGCUUAAAGGGUGUGUAGGCGGUUCGGCAAGUCAGAUGUGAAAUCCCCCGGCCUAACCGGGGAACUGCGUUUGAAACUGCCGUGCUUGAGUGCGAUAGGGGUGCGCGGAACUUCCAGUGGAGCGGUGAAAUGCGUUGAUAUUGGAAGGAACGCCGGUGGCGAAAGCGGCGCACUGGGUCGUUACUGACGCUGAGACACGAAAGCCAGGGGAGCGAACGGGAUUAGAUACCCCGGUAGUCCUGGCUGUAAACGAUGGAGACUAGGUGUGGCCUGUAUCUACCCGGGCCGUGCCGGAGCUAACGCGUUAAGUCUCCCGCCUGGGGAGUACGCACGCAAGUGUGAAACUCAAAGGAAUUGACGGGG